AAAGAAUCAGCAACUGCAACUUUGGAUAUCAGCAUCUCUCUCUGGGUCUUUGCCAAAUCUAGCUGAGCACUGAGGCCAUGUCAAGCAUUAGGUAACAAGGGCAGUAAGUGGGAGCUUACUCUCCUUUCAUUAGGUCGGAGAUCCCUCAGGGCUCUGCAGGGACUGUGCCCUGAAGAAUUGCUGGGAGUGCAGAAGGGUCUUGCUCAACCUAAUGGUAUUGACUGCUGUUUGCUCUGUCUCGCCAGAUCAUGAAUCAUUCUGGAAACAAUCCUGAUUUCUACAAACACAUUUGUUAUUUGUA
Molecule: long non-coding RNA, 301 nt
Organism: Poecile atricapillus (Black-capped chickadee)
Lineage: Eukaryota; Metazoa; Chordata; Aves; Passeriformes; Paridae
Exons: 3
Source: RefSeq, a predicted model, not a curated record